AACGCUGGCGGCAGGCUUAACACAUGCAAGUCGAGCGGGGAAAGGUAGCUUGCUACCUGACCUAGCGGCGGACGAGUGAGUAAUGCUUAGGAAUCUGCCUAUUAGUGGGGGACAACAUUCCGAAAGGAAUGCUAAUACCGCAUACCCCCUACGGGGGAAAGCAGGGGAUCUUCGGACCUUGCGCUAAUAGAUGAGCCUAAGUCAAAUUAGCUAGUUGGUGGGGUAAAGGCCUACCAAGGCGACGAUCUGUAGCGGGUCUGAGAGGAUGAUCCGCCACACUGGGACUGAGACACGGCCCACACUCCUACGGGAGGCAGCAGUGGGGAAUAUUGGACAAUGGGCGAAAGCCUGAUCCAGCCAUGCCGCGUGUGUGAAGAAGGCCUUUUGGUUGUAAAGCACUUUAAGCGAGGAGGAGGCUACUUAUAUUAAUACUCUAGGAUAGUGACGUU
Molecule: ribosomal RNA, 449 nt
Filed under: uncultured bacterium
Lineage: Bacteria
Description: bacterial SSU rRNA
Rfam family: Bacterial small subunit ribosomal RNA
Source: RNAcentral